This 35-nucleotide ribosomal RNA is filed under the name Trichoderma britdaniae. Its description in RNAcentral is "partial 18S ribosomal RNA". Lineage: Eukaryota; Fungi; Ascomycota; Sordariomycetes; Hypocreales; Hypocreaceae. The record is from RNAcentral.
AAGUCUCCGUUGGUGAACCAGCGGAGGGAUCAUUA